This is a non-coding RNA of Monodelphis domestica (gray short-tailed opossum), 457 nucleotides long. The record is from RefSeq and is a predicted model, not a curated record. Lineage: Eukaryota; Metazoa; Chordata; Mammalia; Didelphimorphia; Didelphidae.
UUUAUGGUCAGUCGGUACAACGCCCUGCUUGUGGCUUUUCCAUAAGGGUCCGAUAAUCACAUUUGAUUAUGUGGUUACUGUGUGAGGAAUAGCAGGUCUCCGCUUGAGAGAGAGGCGACAGCAUGACAGAGGCCACAAGGGGAAAACAGAGCUUCAGGAGGACCCAAUUCCAGUUUGGUCUGGGAGAAGUCAAGGACAGCCGGAGGGGAGCCAGGAUGGCUUGAGGCAGGUCUGAAUUCCCGGAGAAGGAACACCAAUAAGAAGUUACAUUCAAAAAUUUCUUCGGAGUCUGUUGUGAGGGAAUAGACUCCUGAGCCCUACGAAUACGCUUCUAUUUUCACAAACCUAGCCACUUAACCAUAACUACCUAACAAGGCAUCAAAACCAAAAAUUAUAUCAUAUGUACUCAUAUAAUAAAGCAAAUGAAAGAAUAAUGAAAUAAAUUACAAUCCAUACA